Sus scrofa (pig) is the source of this 2354-nucleotide long non-coding RNA. RefSeq lists it as uncharacterized. The record is from RefSeq and is a predicted model, not a curated record. NCBI's taxonomy places the organism in Eukaryota, Metazoa, Chordata, Mammalia, Artiodactyla, Suidae.
UUUUUCAGUAAGGAGUUUGGCUUCUGCCACCUAUUGCGUUCCUAUCGUCCUUGAUACUCGUGGACACCUGGAGCCACCCGCCCAGCUCAGUCACUGUGCAGUGGAGUCUGCUGGAGGCCUGGCGAGUUCUGGAGUACAAAACCUGAAAUCCGUAUCACUGGGAGGAAAUCAGCAUGUCCGCAAAGCUUUGCUCUUUUUGGAGGCUUUACAGGCUAUUCCUUCCUGCCUCUUCCAGCUCCUGACGUCUCCUGAAACUCCUUGGCUCUUGGCUGUAUCAUUCUAAACAUCAAGAAUAUACUAUUGUAUAUUUAGAAGUGGAAAAUCUUUUUUCCCUCUACCCAUCUUUGACUCAUUGGCUGCCCUGGAAAUUGAAAAAGAUUGACAAAAGACAGAUUAACAGGACUGAGAAAAAAAUUAAAAAGUUGUUUAUUAACCUCUGUGUGCAUCUUCAAGCACAUGGAAGUACCUAGCGGUGACCGUUUCUACUGCCACGAGUUUCAUCUCCGUCAAUAUGCCGAUUAUAUCUAGGGUCCUCUGUCCAUUGCUGACUUGUGAUCUCCACUAAGAUAUCUAAAAAGUACCUGAAAUUUAACAUUUCUGAAAUAAAACUGACCCUGCAUCUUCCCCUACUGGGUUAAUAGAAUUACCACAUAUCUGAUUGCUUAAGCCCAAGAGAUGACAAUAAACUUGAAUACUCUAUUCAUCUUAUAAGCCAAAAUUAUUACAAUAGUCUAACAGUCCUACGAGUAUUUCUUCCAAAAUAUAAUGUGACUUCAUGCCAAACACUACCGUAGCUCGACUUGUAUUACUGUGACUUGUAUUCCUGUGUCUUAGUCUGGGCUGCUAUAACAAAAUGACAGAGACUAGGUCAAAUAAACAAUGCAUUUUUCUCAAAAUUCUGGAGGUUGAGAAGUCCAAGUUAAUAUUAGGUGUCUGGUGAAAGCCUUGCUUCCUAGUUCAUAGAUAGGCCUUCUCACUAUAACCUUACAUGGCCAAGCAAGAUAGAAAUAAUCUGUCUUACAUAUUUUCUCAUAAGGGCAUUAAUCCCUUUAAAAUAUCUUCAUAGUCAUGAUUUAAUUAUCUCUCAUGGGCCCACCACCAAAUAAAACCACAUUGGGGAUUAGGAAUUCAACAUAUGAAUUUUGGGGAGGACACAAAUAUUCAGUGCAUAGAACCUUGCUUCUACCUCUUUGUAAUAAACUCUUCUUCACAUAUAUUUGUUCAACUUAAAAAGAGCAUAGGAUUUGAACACAGACUAUGGCAUUCAUACCCUGACCAUUUUUAUGAGUUGUGCAACUUUGGGGGAAAUUUCUUAAUCUUUCAAAACCUCCAUUUCUUCACCCAGAAAUAAUAAUAGUACCUUUUAACAGGGAUUUUUGAGAAACAUUUUAAUGUGGGUCAAGCCCUUAGGACAGUGUUUUGUAAAUGACAGGCUUAAUUAAAGUUAACUUUUGGAGACCUUUUGAAAUAGUUUUACCCUAGCAAAAAUCCCUCCAAACUGCUUACCAGUAAUUUCCUAUACUAACCACAUCCUACACCAAUCUCAGUAAUCCAGAUUUUCUUUGUGUUCCACAAAUACUUUAGGAAUCUUCCUACCUGAUUACAUUGCCCUUCUGCCAGGGACAUUCUUCCAUCAGAUCUUUUGUAUGCUCUCUCCUUUUACUCAGGCCCCAGCUCAAAUGCCAUUUCCUUGAGUGGUUAAGUCUUGACCUCAAUGUCUAAUAGUCUUGUCACAUUUACACAGUGGGACAUGUGUCUUAUUUACACAGUUUCAUGUUUAAAAUAAAUCAUAUUACCAUCUAAAAUUAGUGAUUAUUAAUUUAGUGAUUAAUUAGUGAUUGUUUUUUGCCUCAUCUAUUCCCUGCACUAAAGCAGUGCAUGUCAUACUGUAGAACCACCAUGAAUAUUUGUUGAAAGAAUCGAUAUAUGAAUAUAUGAAUGAAUAGCUUGAUGAAUAAAAGUGACAUAAAUCUCAUCCACUAAGACCUUAAAAUGAGCCUUUAUGACCACUUUGGUCAGUUCUCAGAGAUCAUGUUCCUUAAUCAGAGAUUCUGCUAUACACUAUAAUUUACCCUUUCAACUCUUUAAAACCAUGUCCACUUCUAAAGAUGAUUUACUGGAUAUAUGAGAGAUUUUAUCUUAUUUGGGGAAUUCCAGGCCAGAAAUAUAUCUAUAAAAUUUUCAUAUGAAUGUUGAAAAAGUAAUAUUGAUAAAAUAGCUAAUUUCCCAAUUUAUUUUCUUGAUCAGGAGUGUUUCAAAUAAUAGUAAUGAUGCUUAGAUGCAUUCUUUCUUCAGUUAGUAAAUUGUUGUUUAUAGAAAAGAAAACCAUCUACUUACAAAGAGGUGAAAAUAAA